UAGGGAAUCUUCGGCAAUGGGGGCAACCCUGACCGAGCAACGCCGCGUGAGUGAAGAAGGUUUUCGGAUCGUAAAGCUCUGUUGUAAGAGAAGAACGUGUGUGAGAGUGGGAAGUUCACACAGUGACGGUAACUUACCAGAAAGGGACGGCUAACUACGUGCCAGCAGCCGCGGUAAUACGUAGGUCCCGAGCGUUGUCCGGAUUUAUUGGGCGUAAAGCGAGCGCAGGCGG
This 232-nucleotide ribosomal RNA is filed under the name uncultured bacterium. Its description in RNAcentral is "partial 16S ribosomal RNA". It matches the Rfam family "Bacterial small subunit ribosomal RNA", at positions 355 to 578 of the family's 1533-position model. The record is from RNAcentral.